GUGAAUUUGCUUAAUUAAUAAGUGAUACAUUCGAGGCGAAAAGUGUUAGAACUUAGUACACGAUCGAGAACUUUUACAUCUCAAAGAUACUAAAAUUGAACUAAAAAAUAGACGAAUUAGUGAUAACAAGGAGAGAAACUAAAAACUGAUUACAAGACAAAGUAACGAACUAAUGCAGUAGCCGAGUCGAGCAGAACUCUUUCUGCAAGAAGAAAAUCGCCCUGGAAGUGCUCUUUGGUGUUGGCGAUUCUUCCCUAAAGGUAAAACGGCAACGUCUCGACGGAUGUAGCACCAUAAGUUCGGCGAACUGAACAAGGAUGAGAGUUGAGCAAGCUAUGAAAGUUUAUGCAGAAUUUUUUGUGUAAGAAAUGCUCUCUAUGCAGUCCUAUUUAUAGGCUACUCAUGAAUGGAGGGAUCAAAGAGCUUCAUCAAUUGAAUUAAACAACAGAAUGCUGUUUUUGCAUGUUGCUGAAUUCAAAUGAUUUGAAUUCUUCAAAGGAAUUUGAACUGCUCUAGCUGCUUCAGGUCUGGACGCAUGGGCUCUGAGGUUUUCCAAAAAAAAUAUAGUUGGGCCCAAACACCACCCAAAGCACCAAUUGCAAAGAUCCAGGUUCUUGACCGC
This 622-nucleotide long non-coding RNA is filed under the name Salvia miltiorrhiza (redroot sage). RNAcentral's name for it is "long non-coding RNA (SMIL_LNC011985)". The record is from RNAcentral. Lineage: Eukaryota; Viridiplantae; Streptophyta; Magnoliopsida; Lamiales; Lamiaceae.